ACAAGUAGUCAGAGCCCGUUAAUGGGUGAUGGCGUGCCUUUUGUAGAAUGAACCGGCGAGUUACGAUUUGAUGCAAGGUUAAGCAGUAAAUGUGGAGCCGUAGCGAAAGCGAGUCUGAAUAGGGCGUUUAGUAUUUGGUCGUAGACCCGAAACCAGGUGAUCUACCCUUGGUCAGGUUGAAGUUCAGGUAACACUGAAUGGAGGACCGAACCGACUUACGUUGAAAAGUGAGCGGAUGAACUGAGGGUAGCGGAGAAAUUCCAAUCGAACCUGGAGAUAGCUGGUUCUCUCCGAAAUAGCUUUAGGGCUAGCCUCAAGUGAUGAUUAUUGGAGGUAGAGCACUGUUUGGACGAGGGGCCCCUCUCGGGUUACCGAAUUCAGACAAACUCCGAAUGCCAAUUAAUUUAACUUGGGAGUCAGAACAUGGGUGAUAAGGUCCGUGUUCGAAAGGGAAACAGCCCAGACCACCAGCUAAGGUCCCAAAAUAUAUGUUAAGUGGAAAAGGAUGUGGCGUUGCCCAGACAACUAGGAUGUUGGCUUAGAAGCAGCCAUCAUUUAAAGAGUGCGUAAUAGCUCACUAGUCGAGUGACACUGCGCCGAAAAUGUACCGGGGCUAAACAUAUUACCGAAGCUGUGGAUUGUCCUUUGGACAAUGGUAGGAGAGCGUUCUAAGGGCGUUGAAGCAUGAUCGUAAGGACAUGUGGAGCGCUUAGAAGUGAGAAUGCCGGUGUGAGUAGCGAAAGACGGGUGAGAAUCCCGUCCACCGAUUGACUAAGGUUUCCAGAGGAAGGCUCGUCCGCUCUGGGUUAGUCGGGUCCUAAGCUGAGGCCGACAGGCGUAGGCGAUGG
Molecule: ribosomal RNA, 848 nt
Filed under: Staphylococcus aureus
Lineage: Bacteria; Bacillati; Bacillota; Bacilli; Caryophanales; Staphylococcaceae
Description: partial 23S ribosomal RNA
Rfam family: Bacterial large subunit ribosomal RNA
Source: RNAcentral